RNAcentral lists this transfer RNA (72 nucleotides) under Ovis aries (sheep). It matches the Rfam family "tRNA". Rfam says of the family: Transfer RNA (tRNA) molecules are approximately 80 nucleotides in length. Their secondary structure includes four short double-helical elements and three loops (D, anti-codon, and T loops). Further hydrogen bonds mediate the characteristic L-shaped molecular structure. tRNAs have two regions of fundamental functional importance: the anti-codon, which is responsible for specific mRNA codon recognition, and the 3' end, to which the tRNAs corresponding amino acid is attached (by aminoacyl-tRNA synthetases). tRNAs cope with the degeneracy of the genetic code in two manners: having more than one tRNA (with a specific anti-codon) for a particular amino acid; and 'wobble' base-pairing, i.e. permitting non-standard base-pairing at the 3rd anti-codon position. Lineage: Eukaryota; Metazoa; Chordata; Mammalia; Artiodactyla; Bovidae. The record is from Rfam by way of RNAcentral.
UCUCUGGUGGCUCAGCUGGUAAAGAAUCUGCCUGCAACGCAGGAGACCUGGGUUCGAUCCCUGGGCUGGGAA